This 253-nucleotide ribosomal RNA is filed under the name uncultured bacterium. RNAcentral describes it as "partial 16S ribosomal RNA". It matches the Rfam family "Bacterial small subunit ribosomal RNA", at positions 524 to 776 of the family's 1533-position model. The record is from RNAcentral.
UACGGAGGGUGCAAGCGUUAUCCGGAUUCACUGGGUUUAAAGGGUGCGUAGGCGGGCAGGUAAGUCCGUGGUGAAAUCUCUGAGCUUAACUCAGAAACUGCCAUGGAUACUAUUUGUCUUGAAUGUUGUGGAGGUAAGCGGAAUAUGUCAUGUAGCGGUGAAAUGCUUAGAUAUCUGGAGGAACACCGGUGGCGAAGGCGGCGUCCUGGACCAAUUCUGACACUGAGACGCGAAAGCCAGGGGAGCGAACGGG